RNAcentral lists this ribosomal RNA (471 nucleotides) under uncultured Sphingobacteriales bacterium. Its description in RNAcentral is "bacterial SSU rRNA". It matches the Rfam family "Bacterial small subunit ribosomal RNA", at positions 910 to 1382 of the family's 1533-position model. Lineage: Bacteria; Pseudomonadati; Bacteroidota; Sphingobacteriia; Sphingobacteriales. The record is from RNAcentral.
UUGACGGGGCCCGCACAAGCGGUGGAGCAUGUGGUUUAAUUCGAUGCAACGCGAAGAACCUUACCUAGGCUUGACAUGCAGGGGACAGGUGUAGAAAUACAUCCUUCCUUCGGGACCCUUGCACAGGUGCUGCAUGGCUGUCGUCAGCUCGUGUCGUGAAAUGUUGGGUUAAGUCCCGCAACGAGCGCAACCCCUAUCGUUAGUUGCCAGCGGGUCAAGCCGGGGACUCUAGCGAGACUGCCACCGUAAGGUGAGAGGAAGGUGGGGAUGACGUCAAAUCAGCACGGCCCUUAUGUCCAGGGCUACACACGUGUUACAAUGGCCGAUACAAAGGGCAGCUACCGGGCGACCGGAUGCUAAUCUCAAAAGUCGGUCCCAGUUCGGAUUGGAGUCUGCAACCCGACUCCAUGAAGUUGGAUUCGCUAGUAAUCGCGCAUCAGCCAUGGCGCGGUGAAUACGUUCCCGGGCCUU